RNAcentral lists this long non-coding RNA (2571 nucleotides) under Nicotiana tabacum (common tobacco). RNAcentral describes it as "long non-coding RNA (NTAB_LNC019372)". Lineage: Eukaryota; Viridiplantae; Streptophyta; Magnoliopsida; Solanales; Solanaceae. The record is from RNAcentral.
UUUGAUCCAACGGUUCGUAACUGACCAACCCUAAAAUAUAAAAUUGUCCUUAACCCACCCCUGGACCUUAGAAACGUGUCUCAUUUACCUCUCCCAUCUCUCUCUAAUGAAAACCCUAGCCGCCCUUAUAACCCUUGCCGUCUCCGCCAUGGUCCAGGGGUGGGUUAAGGCGGUGGACCACCUCCAAACCCUACCAAAUUAACACCAUAUAAUCACCUCACCCUCUUCUUCCCAUAUAUCCUAACCAUUUCUUUCAAAGAAGCCUAGAACUUCUCGAAUCUAAGAUCCAAAACUCUAACUUUUCCAUUUCCAAUUUCGGGCAGUUUCUGGGCCAUUUGAACCCAACACUUCCAUUAUUCAACUGCUUUUGAUAAGAGCAAUGUUCAUCUAAAGUUCAUUUUUACCCCAUAAAAAUUGGUCGAGUUUGUGACUGGUCCCUUCCAAAAUGAGCCUUAGGUAAAAUUCUUUUCUGUUUUCUUUUUAUUUUUUGUUUUGUCUUCUUUCUUCUUUUAGCCUGCAUGACUUUGGUAAUCACAGUUUUAGUUCUUGUUCUCUUGGUUGGUACUGUCUAUUUGUUUCCUUUGUUUAUGAAGCAUGCUGAAUCUUACAAUUAUCUAAAGGUUGGUUUCAAUUGCAUAAAAUUUUAGGCUGAUUAGGGUUAGUUUUUAUGUUAUUGUUAUAAUCACAUGACUAUUUUGUUUUUUGUUUCCAUUUUUGUAAUUGUUCCUCUCUGGUAUUCUUUGUUUUAUAUGCAAUGAUUAGCUUAGUUUCAGUCAGAUUUUCAAAUGGUAAUUUAGUUGAUUAAUUUGUUUUGAUUUAUAAAUUAAUUAGGUUAAUUUAUAGGGUUCCUUUGCAUCUUCAUUCUAGUUCUUGUUUGUUUACUGUUUCGAUGUGUUAGUUGUUUAAACUUAGUCUUGUUUAAGGUUAAUUUGGCGAAUCAGUUAAUUCACUAAUUAGGAUUAAUUUGUUUGAAUUAAACCUUAGAUACCCUUAGGCCUAGAACUCAUUUCAGAUUUAAAAAAAGGAUAAUUGAAACAAGUUUAGAAACCCUAAUGUAGAAUCACCUAGUUGGUCCUAGAAGGUCCUAAGAGGAUUUUCUGAAAUCAAAAAAGGGAUCCGAAUGUAGGGUACAACUGAAAUAAUCAGUAAUUGAAGGGGUAAUUUUGGAUUUUUAAAUGAGGAAAAUAUCAUAAGGUUCUAGUAUCUGUACAGCUGUCCCCAUUUCCAGCAUGAAAAAUGCUAGAAUUGGGCUGAAAAGGGACAGACAACUAUCCAAAGAUGUUGUACUAUCUGGCAUUUCAGAAAUUAGGGUAGAAUAUUCUAUUUUUUUGCUAUAUUUGUGCAUUCUAUAUAAAGAAUAGGCAUUCACUCAUUCUCACAGACACAUAAAAUCCUCUGAAUACACUGAAAAUAUUCCCUAAAUGAACACUCAUUUUGAGGUUGUGUUUAAACUCACAAAAACCAUCUGCAUUUACUGAGAAGGUUUAGAAGUUCUGAUUUUGUCUUAAAAACUUUGGUUUAUCUAAGCUGGAUCUGGACUGAAAUUGGUUUUUCUGGUGCUGAAGUUUCAUGAUUCCAGCCUUUAAACUGCCUGAUGAUUGCUUCUCUUUCUGGGGUUUUAUUGGAUUUUCCUCUUGGCCACUAGACCUAUAUUUAGUCUCAGCUUUUGUUUCCAGAAGUAGGUAUGUUGAUAUCUUAUCUAUAGCCCCAUUUUGAAGUAUAUGAAUGGAAAUAUGAACUGCUAUUUUUGUUGAAAAUACAUGUUCUUCUAUUAAGUUUUCUUCUUCUUCUUUGAAACAUUCUCUGAAAGUUUACCCUAUGUUUCUCAGUUGAUGAAUGUUCCCUUGGUAUCUUUGUUAGUUCACAAUGUUAUGGAGUAUAGUCUCUUAGCUGCUGAAUACUUUUUUUUUCAUAAAAAAGACCAGGUUGGUUGAUUUGUUUUGCUUUGUUGUUGUUCCUUUAUUCCUAUUAAGUUUUUCGAAUCAGAAUAUCACCAUGCUUGGUUUCAGGUUUGGUUUGAAAUAGUUUAAUGAUAUGGCCUUUGUUGAUACUUGUUGUCAUUUAAUCUUAAGCAUGCUACUUUAAUUUCUGCCUGAUAUUGGUAUUAGAUAAACAAUAGCUAGGAACUUCAGUGAAUAUUUAAGGCAGUCUAGAAACAAAGAUGUGAAUCUGAUCACUGGUUGGUCAGAUUUGCACACUAGCUGAUAAUGGAAUCAGCUCAAAGCUAUGGAGUAUGAUGACAUAUUCUGCCUGCUGCCUUGAUGAAAAGAAACACAUGGAUAGCAUAUUUUGAAGUCUUGUAAUUUAUAUACAAUGAAGUUAUUCAAUUUAUGGAACAAAAGUUUGUAUAAACAAAUAUUUGUAGUUGCUUUAUUCAUUCCCUUUCCCUUCAUAGAAAAUAACAUUACAUUAGUAAUUAGAAUGAUAUUUAUAUCCUGUAUCAAAAGUGAAACUGCACCCUUGCCAUAUACUGUUCUUCCUUGUAGUAAUACUAUUUCUGGAAGUAAAAUAACGUACAUUUCUUGUCAAUCAUCUUUUAAAAAGGAAGCAUGAAGUGUUGAUUUUUGAAAA